UGGGGGAUAACGUAGGGAAACUUACGCUAAUACCGCAUACGACCUACGGGUGAAAGCAGGGGACCUUCGGGCCUUGCGCGAUUGAAUGAGCCGAUGUCGGAUUAGCUAGUUGGCGGGGUAAAGGCCCACCAAGGCGACGAUCCGUAGCUGGUCUGAGAGGAUGAUCAGCCACACUGGAACUGAGACACGGUCCAGACUCCUACGGGAGGCAGCAGUGGGGAAUAUUGGACAAUGGGCGCAAGCCUGAUCCAGCCAUACCGCGUGGGUGAAGAAGGCCUUCGGGUUGUAAAGCCCUUUUGUUGGGAAAGAAAUCCAGCCGGUUAAUACCUGGUUGGGAUGACGGUACCCAAAGAAUAAGCACCGGCUAACUUCGUGCCAGCAGCCGCGGUAAUACGAAGGGUGCAAGCGUUACUCGGAAUUACUGGGCGUAAAGCGUGCGUAGGUGGUUGUUUAAGUCUGUUGUGAAAGCCCUGGGCUCAACCUGGGAACUGCAGUGGAAACUGGACAACUAGAGUGUGGUAGAGGGUAGCGGAAUUCCCGGUGUAGCAGUGAAAUGCGUA
Molecule: ribosomal RNA, 560 nt
Filed under: Stenotrophomonas sp. R9-5
Lineage: Bacteria; Pseudomonadati; Pseudomonadota; Gammaproteobacteria; Lysobacterales; Lysobacteraceae
Description: bacterial SSU rRNA
Rfam family: Bacterial small subunit ribosomal RNA
Source: RNAcentral